RNAcentral lists this ribosomal RNA (207 nucleotides) under uncultured bacterium. RNAcentral's name for it is "partial 16S ribosomal RNA". It matches the Rfam family "Bacterial small subunit ribosomal RNA", at positions 1294 to 1500 of the family's 1533-position model. The record is from RNAcentral.
CGGAUUGUAGGCUGCAACUCGCCUACAUGAAGUCGGAAUUGCUAGUAAUCGCGGAUCAGCAUGCCGCGGUGAAUACGUUCCCGGGCCUUGUACACACCGCCCGUCACACCAUGGGAGUCGGUAACACCCGAAGCCUGUAGUCUAACCGCAAGGAGGACGCAGUCGAAGGUGGGAUUGAUGACUGGGGUGAAGUCGUAACAAGGUACC